UUGUUUGAAUGUAUCAUAAUUAAAAAAUGUGCCACGUAUACAUAACAACAAGAAAUUUAACUGGUUCAAACGAUUGCAGAUGGGUGACCAAAAAAGUCAACCCAAACGAUUGCCUGGUACAGCCGUUUACUCAAAACGUUAAUGAAGAGAAGCCGAAGUUGCACCUCCUUCAUCGGGCAUCUACUCAAAAUCCACCACCAAGAGAAGCUGAAGCUGCAUCUCCUCCAACAAGCAUCCUACAAAGUGGCAUUAAGUCACUUGAGAGUUCAUUCCAACCUUCAAAAUUAGCAUGCCGAUCAAAAUGGUGUAAAGCCCAAUUAAUGCCUCUUCCUAUUAUUGUAAACAUUAACAAACAACAUAUAAGAGCACCCAAUACAAAAUUUCAUAAGUUCUUAUUUAAAAUUUUAAAUCAGAAUUAGUUCCUAAAAAAAAAAAAAAACCCAAAUCGAUAUCAUUAAAGAGCAUUUGGAGAUGGAAGCAACACUUACAAUGAGAUCGCGGACUCAGUUUUUCCAUCAAUGAUCAACGACAAUACGACAUAGAUCAAAGGCAAAAUAGGCAACUAACAAAAAGAAACAAGCAAAUUAGAACAUACUUUACAAAAAAUGCUGUAGAAUUGGGUGAUAAAAUGUUGUAGAAGUGGGUGAUUAUCGAUGGCCAAGAAUCACAAGAAAUAUUAAUAGUGGCAUCCGACCGACCAGCCAAGUCGCAAGAAAAAAGAACACCGGUGGCGACGAUUUUUUAGGCGGAGACGCAGCAGUCUUAUACAUGGAUCGACUACGAUUUGGUUAUUUUGUUUCAAUUUGACAGCACCAAUUUCUUUUAUCCCCUUCACAAUCCCUCGUCAAUUUUCCACUGUAAAAAAAUUUUGACACCAUUUGGUCCAGUUGCCCAUUACAUAAGACUUAACCAAUUCAACCAUUUUUUUU
This 929-nucleotide long non-coding RNA is filed under the name Citrus maxima (pomelo). RNAcentral describes it as "long non-coding RNA (CMAX_LNC001580)". The record is from RNAcentral. Lineage: Eukaryota; Viridiplantae; Streptophyta; Magnoliopsida; Sapindales; Rutaceae.